Cynoglossus semilaevis (tongue sole) is the source of this 193-nucleotide long non-coding RNA. RefSeq lists it as uncharacterized. Lineage: Eukaryota; Metazoa; Chordata; Actinopteri; Pleuronectiformes; Cynoglossidae. The record is from RefSeq and is a predicted model, not a curated record. The transcript has 2 exons.
UUUUGGUUGUCCGACAAGAAAUCACAAGAAAGCGUACGUCAACGAGGAGAAGCAAGUAAUCAUGAGAAAUUUGCUGCUGCCAAUACCGUCAGAGCCUUCACUCAAGGCAGAUGUGGGACGACUGCAGUGUUCUCUGCUUCUUGUCGUGGGCGAGGAUGAUCAGAACUGGCCUUCGUAUGAAUCUGCACUGGAU